UACAGAGGUCUCAAGCGUUGUUCGGAUUCAUUGGCGUAAAGGGUGCGUAGGCGGCGCGGUAAGUCGGGUGUGAAAUCUCGGAGCUUAACUCCGAAACUGCAUUCGAUACUGCCGUGCUUGAGGACUGGAGAGGAGACUGGAAUUUACGGUGUAGCGGUGAAAUGCGUAGAUAUCGUAAGGAAGACCAGUGGCGAAGGCGGGUCUCUGGACAGUUCCUGACGCUGUGGCACGAAGGUCAGGGGAGCAAACGGG
RNAcentral lists this ribosomal RNA (252 nucleotides) under uncultured bacterium. RNAcentral describes it as "partial 16S ribosomal RNA". It matches the Rfam family "Bacterial small subunit ribosomal RNA", at positions 524 to 776 of the family's 1533-position model. The record is from RNAcentral.